GAAACUGCCGGUUCCCGUACCAUCACCGAAGUUAAGCGACGUCGAACCAGGUCAGUACCUAGAUGGGUGACCUCUUAUGAAUACUGGGAAG
Non-coding RNA from Acanthosepion pharaonis, 91 nucleotides. NCBI's taxonomy places the organism in Eukaryota, Metazoa, Mollusca, Cephalopoda, Sepiida, Sepiidae. The record is from the annotation of a GenBank genome assembly.